Molecule: ribosomal RNA, 465 nt
Filed under: uncultured bacterium
Lineage: Bacteria
Description: partial 16S ribosomal RNA
Rfam family: Bacterial small subunit ribosomal RNA
Source: RNAcentral
GACGAACGCUGGCGGCGUGCUUAACACAUGCAAGUCGAACGGAAAGGCCCCUUUGGGGGUACUCGAGUGGCGAACGGGUGAGUAACACGUGAGUAACCUGCCCUUGACUUCGGGAUAACUUCAGGAAACUGGGGCUAAUACCGGUUAGGAAUCAUUGCUGCAUGGUGGGGGUUGGAAAGCUACGGCGGUUUUGGCUGGACUCGCUGCUUAUCAGCUUGUUGGAGGGGUAGUGGCUUACCAAGGCUUCGACGGGUAGCCGGCCUGAGAGGGUGACCGGCCACAUUGGGACUGAGAUACGGCACAGACUCCGACGGGAGGCAGCAGUGGGGAAUAUUGCACAAUGGGCGGAAGGCUGAUGCAGCAACGCCGCGUGCGGGAUGACGGCCUUCGGGUUGUAAACCGCUUUCAGCAGGGGCGAAGCUUGUGGUGACGGUACCUGCAGAAGAAGCACCGGCUAACUACGUG